GCCAGGCGUGGUGGUGCAUGCCUGUAAUUCCAGUAGCCUAGAAGGCUGAGGCAGGAGAAUCUCAAGUUCAAAGCCAGCCUUAGCAAUGGAAAGGCACUAAGCAACUCAGUGAGACCCUGUUUCUA
This 125-nucleotide small RNA is filed under the name Marmota monax (woodchuck). Lineage: Eukaryota; Metazoa; Chordata; Mammalia; Rodentia; Sciuridae. The record is from RNAcentral.